GGCGGAACAAAAAAUGCUAUCAGCUCCCUCAGACGCUGCCGGCACUAUUUACCUAAUUCCCACAACUCACUGGGGUUAUAAGCAUAAUAAGAGGCGUGUUCCACCACUGUGGACGGGGUCCCUGGGCUUUCCCCUAGGGUCCCAUCAGCUGCUUAUGUUCUACCUUCUGACGGAUCACAGGAGGAGCCUGCAGCGGAGGAGCCUCCUCCUCCUCAGCAUCAGACCUAAAGGGAGUGUCCUGCCUGAAGGACCGGCUCAAGGUCGCACUAACAGCUCUUGCUAACUCCUGUUCCAGGCUGUUUAUCUGGGCCUCCAAGUACCCUGCUUGCGCCUGGAGGUCUCUCACCCCCAGGUCCUGCUCAAAGCUGUGCACUUGGGCCCCCAGGCAUGCGGCUUGCUCCGGAAGGUCCCUUACCUGUGGCACUGAGCAUGUACUUCCUGCAGUGCAGUUAGAAAUGCCCAUCCGACUCUGCUUGCAAAGUUCCUUUAUUUAUAGGCACAGCUGCUUAAAGACUGUUACCGGAAAGGAAUCCUGAUCCAGACGCCAAGAGAGGGUUCUUGGACUCAUGCAAGAAAGACUUCAGAAUACGAGUUUUGAAUUUUUGAAUUGCUGUUAAAACUUUCAUCAUGAACACUGAAGUGAGUGAAAAGAGACUUUUGCAGUCAUUUUUUUGGACAGAGAUCAUGGAAGUUGGGCCCGACUGGAUGAGAUUUGGGGGUCUUUGGAAGUGGAGAAUGUGUUUGCCCUGGGGAAGAGAGGUGAUGUCUAGGAGACCUCUUCACUCAGGGCAAGCUCUAUGACCUGCUUUGACUCCAGAAUGUGGUAGAAGUGGCAUCACAUAAAUUGCAGAGCCUAGGCUUCAAGAGACCUUGCAACUUGCCUCUCACUGACUUGAAGUGCUCCCAUCAGAGCAUCUUGUAAGGAGCAGGUGGAGCAUGUGGACAAGCCAUCCCCACCAGCCCCUGAGACAUGUGAGAGAGGCCAGAACAGGCCAUCCGGACCCCACUGUGCUGGUGGAUGAGACAGCAGAAGGAAUAUCAACCUACCAACAGAAUCCUGAGAAAUGCUCACUCUUACUUCAAGCUGCUGCAUUUUGAUGUUAUGAAACCAUAAAUAACUUAUGAAGUCAUCUUUGCUGACUUAAAGUUUUCCAUAACUUUAUUAUAACAUAUCAAAAUUAUGAAAAAUGUGAAAAGUAGAAAACUGAUGAAUUUUGCUUCUUCAUAUGGUCUUUAAGAAUCUCAAAGGCACUGAAGUUUUUUAUCUUUUCUGUCUUAGAAUAAAAAACCUUGAAUGAAAA
RNAcentral lists this long non-coding RNA (1301 nucleotides) under Homo sapiens (human). RNAcentral describes it as "HSALNT0346813". Lineage: Eukaryota; Metazoa; Chordata; Mammalia; Primates; Hominidae. The record is from RNAcentral.